UGUGGUAUCGAAGUGGACUCCAAACAAUAAACAUCAUCCAGAUGCCAUGGAAAUGAAGCAUGCAACUUCAGUGAACUUCAUCCCCAGAUGCCAUCCUCAACACGUUGCCAAAAACUCAUUAGGAUCGCCCCUGAGGGUCUAGUCCGUGCAACUUCAUCGGUUCUCAUCUAACCCUAUAAGUCAGGCAUCUGCUGACCUUAUGGUCGAGACUCUUCCGACCACACAAAAUGUCUUCCCAUGGUUGAUACUGAGAAGGAUGCAACCAGGCC
This 269-nucleotide long non-coding RNA is filed under the name Elaeis guineensis (African oil palm). RNAcentral's name for it is "long non-coding RNA (EGUI_LNC004653)". Lineage: Eukaryota; Viridiplantae; Streptophyta; Magnoliopsida; Arecales; Arecaceae. The record is from RNAcentral.